GAUCAUGGCUCAGGAUGAACGCUAGCUACAGGCUUAACACAUGCAAGUCGAGGGGCAGCAUGGACCCAGCUUUGCUGGGUUUGAUGGUGACCGGCGCACGGGUGAGUAACGCGUAUCCAACCUGCCCUUUACUCCGGGAUAGGUCUCCUGAAAGGGAGUUUAAUACCGGAUGUGUUUGUCUUUCCGCAUGGGAGCGACAAAUAAAGAUUGAUUGGUAAAGGAUGGGGAUGCGUCCCAUUAGCUUG
Molecule: ribosomal RNA, 245 nt
Filed under: uncultured bacterium
Lineage: Bacteria
Description: partial 16S ribosomal RNA
Rfam family: Bacterial small subunit ribosomal RNA
Source: RNAcentral